RNAcentral lists this ribosomal RNA (430 nucleotides) under uncultured bacterium. Its description in RNAcentral is "bacterial SSU rRNA". It matches the Rfam family "Bacterial small subunit ribosomal RNA", at positions 355 to 776 of the family's 1533-position model. The record is from RNAcentral.
UGGGGAAUAUUGGACAAUGGGGGGAACCCUGAUCCAGCCAUGCCGCGUGUGUGAAGAAGGCCUUAUGGUUGUAAAGCACUUUAAGCGAGGAGGAGGCUACUAGUAUUAAUACUACUGGAUAGUGGACGUUACUCGCAGAAUAAGCACCGGCUAACUCUGUGCCAGCAGCCGCGGUAAUACAGAGGGUGCGAGCGUUAAUCGGAUUUACUGGGCGUAAAGCGUGCGUAGGCGGCCAUUUAAGUCAAAUGUGAAAUCCCCGAGCUUAACUUGGGAAUUGCAUUCGAUACUGGAUGGCUAGAGUAUGGGAGAGGAUGGUAGAAUUCCAGGUGUAGCGGUGAAAUGCGUAGAGAUCUGGAGGAAUACCGAUGGCGAAGGCAGCCAUCUGGCCUAAUACUGACGCUGAGGUACGAAAGCAUGGGGAGCAAACAGG